AACCUUUCGUUCGAUGAAUACCGGUUAAUCUUGUGCCAGCAGCAGCGGUAAUGCAAGUGGUGUAAACGUUCUAUAGGUUGAUUAGGUGUAAAGAGUGAUUUGGACAUGAGGUUUAUAUGUGUAGUGAAAAUUUAUUAUCAGUGUCACGGACGAAGUCAUUAGAGUAAUUCUAGAUUUGAUGUGGUGUAGGAAUGUGAAUUGUAAUGGUGAAAUCUGUAUAUAAUUGGUAGAAAAUUGAUUUGAUAUUGGUAGCUUAUCUUUGGUAGAUAUUCUAUUCACGAAAGCUUGAGGUGUGACAGGGAUUAGAUACCCCAUUAAUUCAAGUGAUAAAUUAUGGCUUAUUGUAGAUUGGAUCUAUUUUUAACAUGUGAAGGUUCUUAACCUAAGGAGUACGUUUUCAUAAAUGAAACUUAAAUGUUCUGGUGGUGGUUUAGAACAAUAGUGGAAUAGAUGAUUUAAUUCGAUGUUAUGCGAUAAAGCUUAUCACUUAUCAUUUUUAAUACCUAGGUAUAGGUAGAAUUUUAUUCAAGGUAGUGCAUGGCUGUU
RNAcentral lists this ribosomal RNA (546 nucleotides) under Kryptoperidinium triquetrum. RNAcentral's name for it is "Heterocapsa triquetra partial Bacterial small subunit ribosomal RNA". It matches the Rfam family "Bacterial small subunit ribosomal RNA", at positions 472 to 1053 of the family's 1533-position model. The record is from RNAcentral. Lineage: Eukaryota; Dinophyceae; Peridiniales; Kryptoperidiniaceae.